UACGUAGGGUCCGAGCGUUGUCCGGAAUUACUGGGCGUAAAGAGCUCGUAGGCGGUGUGUCACGUCGGCCGUGAAAACCUGCAGCUUAACUGUGGGCGUGCGGUCGAUACGGGCAUCACUGGAGUUCGGCAGGGGAGACUGGAAUUCCUGGUGUAGCGGUGAAAUGCGCAGAUAUCAGGAGGAACACCGGUGGCGAAGGCGGGUCUCUGGGCCGAUACUGACGCUGAGGAGCGAAAGCGUGGGGAGCGAACAGG
This 254-nucleotide ribosomal RNA is filed under the name uncultured bacterium. Its description in RNAcentral is "partial 16S ribosomal RNA". It matches the Rfam family "Bacterial small subunit ribosomal RNA", at positions 524 to 776 of the family's 1533-position model. The record is from RNAcentral.